This 252-nucleotide ribosomal RNA is filed under the name uncultured Sulfobacillus sp. Its description in RNAcentral is "partial 16S ribosomal RNA". It matches the Rfam family "Bacterial small subunit ribosomal RNA", at positions 524 to 776 of the family's 1533-position model. Lineage: Bacteria; Bacillati; Bacillota; Clostridia; Eubacteriales; Clostridiales Family XVII. Incertae Sedis. The record is from RNAcentral.
GACGUAGGGGGCAAGCGUUGUCCGGAAUUACUGGGCGUAAAGGGCGUGUAGGCGGUGGCGUACGUAGCGGUUUUAAGCCGUCGGCUCACCCGACGGAGGGUCGCUAAACGGCGCGACUGGAGGGCAGGAGAGGUGCGUGGAAUUCCUGGUGGAGCGGUGAAAUGCGUAGAGAUCAGGAAGAACACCCGUGGCGAAGGCGACGCACUGGCCUGUCCCUGACGCUGAGGCGCGACAGCGUGGGGAGCAAACGGG